Long non-coding RNA from Rhopalosiphum maidis (corn leaf aphid), 474 nucleotides. RefSeq lists it as uncharacterized. The transcript is spliced from 3 exons. Lineage: Eukaryota; Metazoa; Arthropoda; Insecta; Hemiptera; Aphididae. The record is from RefSeq and is a predicted model, not a curated record.
UAACAUGUUAAUACAUUGUCCUAUGAUCCUAAGUCCUAAUUUAAUAUCUAUCCAACCCUUUCUAAAUAUCUUACAACAUUAAUAUACCAAUAUAGGUUAUACUCGAGCCCAAACGACUCAGUAUCUAUCUUAAUAAAGUAAAUCGGAUCGUAUAUAAUAGUGCUUAUCGAAUCACAACACCGAGAUAUCUAUACACAUCCGUCGACGAAAAGAUUAUGGAUUGAUUCUGCAAUAUACCUCAGAAAGAUACAUGAUAUGAAAAAUGUAUUAUUCAAAAAAAGAAGAAAAUGAGACAUUGAACCAUCCAAAAUUAUAUUACAAGUAGCUUGAUGUGCAUAUUGGGCAACUAUACUAGAAAUGUCUUCAUCACAAGAAAAAAGUAAUGGCUCAUUACUAUUAUUUAGAAAAAUAUAAAUUGGCCUACCGUUUAAAGCUUAUAACAAGAUAGAAAUAAGAAUAUCGUCUACAAUGUUG